CAUCGAGGAGUGAAGGGGUUUGUUAAAGAUCUUCAGGGCAAUCCAAUAGCAAAUGCUACAAUCUCUGUAGAGGGAAUAAGCCAUGAUAUCACAUCAGCCAAGGAUGGCGAUUACUGGAGGUUGCUUGUGCCUGGAAAUUACAAACUUACAGCUUCAGCACCAGGCUACCUAGCAAUAAC
Non-coding RNA from Tinamus guttatus (white-throated tinamou), 179 nucleotides. The record is from RefSeq and is a predicted model, not a curated record. Lineage: Eukaryota; Metazoa; Chordata; Aves; Tinamiformes; Tinamidae.